GAUGAACGCUGGCGGCGUGCUUAACACAUGCAAGUCGAACGGAAAGGCCCAAGCUUGCUUGGGUACUCGAGUGGCGAACGGGUGAGUAACACGUGGGUGAUCUGCCCUGCACUUCGGGAUAAGCCUGGGAAACUGGGUCUAAUACCGGAUAGGACCACUUCUUGGAUGUUGUGGUGGAAAGUUUUUUCGGUGUGGGAUGAGCUCGCGGCCUAUCAGCUUGUUGGUGGGGUAAUGGCCUACCAAGGCGUCGACGGGUAGCCGGCCUGAGAGGGUGUACGGCCACAUUGGGACUGAGAUACGGCCCAGACUCCUACGGGAGGCAGCAGUGGGGAAUAUUGCACAAUGGGCGCAAGCCUGAUGCAGCGACGCCGCGUGGGGGAUGACGGCCUUCGGGUUGUAAACUCCUUUCGCUAGGGACGAAGCGUUUUUGUGACGGUACCUGGAGAAGAAGCACCGGCUAACUACGUGCCAGCAGCCGCGGUAAUACGUAGGGUGCGAGCGUUGUCCGGAAUUACUGGGCGUAAAGAGCUCGUAGGUGGUUUGUCGCGUCGUUUGUGUAAGCCCGCAGCUUAACUGCGGGACUGCAGGCGAUACGGGCAUAACUUGAGUGCUGUAGGGGAGACUGGAAUUCCUGGUGUAGCGGUGGAAUGCGCAGAUAUCAGGAGGAACACCGAUGGCGAAGGCAGGUCUCUGGGCAGUAACUGACGCUGAGGAGCGAAAGCAUGGGUAGCGAACAGG
Molecule: ribosomal RNA, 738 nt
Filed under: uncultured Corynebacterium sp.
Lineage: Bacteria; Bacillati; Actinomycetota; Actinomycetes; Mycobacteriales; Corynebacteriaceae
Description: bacterial SSU rRNA
Rfam family: Bacterial small subunit ribosomal RNA
Source: RNAcentral